UUCCGGUUGAUCCUGCCGGAGGCGACCGCUUUGGGAGUUCGAUUAAGCCAUGCGAGUCGUGAGUCUUAGGGACUCGGCAUACUGCUCAGUAACACGUGGAUAACCUGCCCUAUCGUCUGGAAUAACCUCGGGAAACUGAGAAUAAGGCCAAAUAGUUCACAAUGCCUGGAACGGUUUGUGGAUGAAGGUAGGAUGGGUCUGCGGCGUAUCAGGUUGUAGGGGGCGUAAAGGACCCCCUAGCCUUCGACGCGUACGGGUGUUGGGAGACAUAGCCCGGAGAUGGAUUCUGAGACACGAAUCCAGACCCUACGGGGUGCAGCAGGCGCGAAAACUUCACACUGCAGGAAACUGUGAUGAGGGAACUCCUAGUGCAUGCACUAUGUGUAUGUAGAUCCUACUCUUAACAAGUAGAGGGAAAGGGCUGGGAAAGACCGGUGCCAGCCGCCGCGGUAAUACCGGCAGCUCAAGUGGUCGUCGCUUUUAUUGGGCCUAAGACGUCCGUAGCCUGUUUGGUAAAUCUGUGGGUAAAUCAACCUGCUUAACGGGUUGAAUUCUGCAGAGACUGCCAGACUAGGGACCGGGAGAGGUGUGGGGUACUCGAGGGGUAGGGGUAAAAUCCUGUCAUCCUUUGAGGACCACCAGUUGCGAAGGCGCCACACUAGAACGGAUCCGACGGUCAGGGACGAAGCCUAGGGGCACGAACCGGAUUAGAUACCCGGGUAGUCCUAGGUGUAAACGCUGUGGACUUGGUGUUGGGAACUCCCAGAGGGCUCUCAGUGCCGUAGCGAAGGUGAUAAGUCCACUGCCUGGGGAGUACGGUCGCAAGGCUGAACUUAAAGGAAUUGGCGGGGGAACACCGCAACCUGAGGAUUGUGCGGUUUAAUUGGAUUCAACGCCGGA
RNAcentral lists this ribosomal RNA (900 nucleotides) under uncultured archaeon. RNAcentral describes it as "bacterial SSU rRNA". It matches the Rfam family "Archaeal small subunit ribosomal RNA", at positions 1 to 922 of the family's 1478-position model. The record is from RNAcentral.